CUUGCUUAAAUAUAAGAGGUCCCGCCUGCCCAGUGAUUUAAUUUAACGGCCGCGGUAUCUUGACCGCGCUAAGGUAGCACAAUCAAUUGUCCUUUAAAUAAGGACUAGUAUGAAUGGCACCACGAGGGUUUAACUGUCUCCCUACUUUAAUCAAUAAAAUUGAUCUUCCCGUGAAGAAGCGGGAAUAUAAAUAUAAGACGAAAAGACCCCAUGGAGCUUAAAACUUAUUAUCACUUAUUAAAACCUUAAAACACACCAAUAAUUAUGAUAAAACAUUUUCGGUUGGGGCGACCCUGGAGAAAAACAAAUCCUCCAAGAUGAAUAGAUUAAAAUCUAAUGUUAGAGUGACAACUCAAACAAUCAAAAACCUGACAAAAUGACCCAGAAUAUAUCUGAUCAACGAACCAAGUUACCCUGGGGAUAACAGCGCAAUCCAUUUCAAGAGCCCCUAUCGACAAAUGGGUUUACGACCU
RNAcentral lists this ribosomal RNA (473 nucleotides) under Hyperolius bolifambae. RNAcentral's name for it is "partial large subunit ribosomal RNA". It matches the Rfam family "Bacterial large subunit ribosomal RNA", at positions 1834 to 2526 of the family's 2925-position model. Lineage: Eukaryota; Metazoa; Chordata; Amphibia; Anura; Hyperoliidae. The record is from RNAcentral.